RNAcentral lists this long non-coding RNA (316 nucleotides) under Piliocolobus tephrosceles (Ugandan red Colobus). Its description in RNAcentral is "lncRNA (ENSPTEG00000008289.1)". The record is from RNAcentral. Lineage: Eukaryota; Metazoa; Chordata; Mammalia; Primates; Cercopithecidae.
UAUGACAUAUAUAGAAUUAAAAAAAAACAUCAAAUAAUUUAUUUUCCCUUUUUUUUUUUUUGUGUUUUUCUUUUUUUUUAUUAGCCUAUACAUUUAUCUUCCAGGAUCAACUUAUUUUUAAGAAAUCAGAGCUGGAUCUUCAAUACAACAUUCCUGAAGAUAUGUUUUAUGAACCGAUAAAAAUAAAUACAUCAGAUGAAUUAGUUCAUACUUGCUGGCUCGUUAAAACACCUGAUACUAAUAAUAAAUCUGUAAUUCUUUUUUUUUCUGGAAAUGGAGGAUAUAUACAGAAGUCUGCUAAUUUUUUUAAUGAGUU